Molecule: long non-coding RNA, 315 nt
Organism: Haliotis rubra (blacklip abalone)
Lineage: Eukaryota; Metazoa; Mollusca; Gastropoda; Lepetellida; Haliotidae
Exons: 3
Source: RefSeq, a predicted model, not a curated record
CAAGUGGCUGCCGUGCUGGGAAGACAGGGGUUGGAUGCCAGGAUGAUUGUGGCCUGGGUCAGUAUGGGUUCAACUGUUCCUCCACGUGUGGUCAGUGUAGCGGAUCGUCCGACUGUAAGAAGGAUGAUGGAAAGUGCACACAGGGAUGCCAAACAGGUUACCUCCUCCCUUUGUGUAAAGACUGUGUAGAAGGACACUAUGGUGUUAAUUGUUCACAACAAUGUGGCUCGUGUAAAGAUGACUCACCGUGCAAUACAACCACUGGUGUCUGUGUGCUGGGAUGUACAGAUAACUUUGAAGAACCAUAUUGCAAAU